RNAcentral lists this long non-coding RNA (1725 nucleotides) under Felis catus (domestic cat). RNAcentral describes it as "lncRNA (ENSFCAG00000051147.1)". Lineage: Eukaryota; Metazoa; Chordata; Mammalia; Carnivora; Felidae. The record is from RNAcentral.
GCAAGAAGUCUCCACUGCCCUCACUUCCCUAUAAAGGAGAAACGGCAAAAGCCCCACAAACCUGAGUCCCACAGGGGGUCCGGUCCCAGAAGCCCCAGUCCCAGGUCGCCGUGGGACCUGCCCCUGCCUGGUGUCCCGCUGCCUGGCGCUCACCCUGCCCUGGACCGCGGUGCAGCCUCCGCAUCUGGGAGGAAAAAACUGCGGCGGGCAGGCGAGCCGGGGCGGGGACCGCGCCGCGGUGGCUGCUCUGCGGCUCGGAACGGGGCCCAGGCUCGGGCCUUACCAGGGCCCCAGCCCCGCCGCGCUCCUCCCCUCCCCCUCCCUCAAUCCCACCUCGAGUCCCGCGCCCUUAAAGGAAGUCCAUGGCUUUGCCCGGUCACCAACAGGGUGUCGGCCGGCCCCUUCUGUGCUACGGUGCGGCCGACUUGGGCUCUUCAGGACACCGCCACGUCCUCUGGGUGGGCGCCCGUCGCCUCCUCCCCGGGGUUGACCCCACGGGUCUCCGGGCGAUUCUUCCCUAGUCUUUCCAGCCCGUGGGCGGCGGCGGCGGCGGCGGCGGCGCGGAGUGUCGCGGAGCUGUCCCCGCAGAGCCCUCCCGGGGCGGCGAUCCGGUCCCCGCGCCGCCUCCGGCGUCUCCCCAGCCUGGCCUCCGCCGAGCCGGCUGCGGUCCACGUGGCUCCGGAGCUCGCAGGAAGCCCCGAGCGAGCCGAAAGCCGAGCCGAGAGCGGGCGGAGGGGGCGCGGGAGGGGGGGGGGGGAGCGGGCCCGGGGGGCGGGCACUGGGCGGAGGAAGGGGAGGGCCGCGCGCAGCCCAGGCGCCCGCCCCGCUCCGGCGCGCCCCGCUCCCGGCCCCGGCCGGCCAGGGAAGCGGCCCCUCCCCGGCCGCCCGCCGGCCCCUCCCGUUACACCCGGGGGAAGGUGUUCCCGAGACCGCUCCCAUCCUCACCCCGCCUCCCCGCUUCCCCGGCUCCAGCCUCCGCCGGCGGAGCUCCACUAUGCCAGACAGUUUCGACACUUUGCAAAGACAAAGACCAGAGGGAGGAGGAAGAGGAGGACAGGGAGGGCGAGGAGGAGGAGGGAGAGGAGGACGGCGCGAUGUGAGCCGGGAAGGGGGCCAGUGCUCGGGACAACCCCCCCUUUAGUCUCCCCGGAGCCCCUCAUCUCCAAAGCCGCCGAAACUCCAGCGUGUCUCCGGCUGCGAUGUGGAAACUGAGGCUCCGCGAAGUGAAGCCGCUUGCCCGAAGUCCCACAGCUAGAAAAGUGGCAAUUCCUAACUGCUCCGUUUCUGCCCGAAGCCCAAGAUCUCAGGCCUCAUGUUGUGUAAUUCCCAGGAUCAUCUGGUGUCUCUACAUCGGGGGGGCCGGCAAGGGUAGAAAUAGACUCCCUCAGAGGUGCAGAUAUAGAGCACAUCGCACGGACAUCUGUCCCCAAGCCCGCCCAAGCUGCGUGCCAUCCCACCCAAUGGCCACGGCAAAGGGACCCAGGUUCCGUAGCCUCUUCUUUGGCGGGAGGGCGGUCCUGAUUGUCCUCUGCACGCUGUGUCCCAACGGGUGGGGCUCCAAGGUUUUUUCCCUGCUUCACCAUUUGGUGCCGGCUGGAUGGGUUUAUCGAGCUAACCUUGAUAGACUUGCCGGAUUUUUCUGCCUCCGUGUCGGACCCUGUGUUGCUGAUGGCAAGCACCCUUCCUUUGGGUUGUACUCAUACAUUGAAUUCUGAGAUCCCCAUG